This 254-nucleotide ribosomal RNA is filed under the name uncultured bacterium. RNAcentral's name for it is "partial 16S ribosomal RNA". It matches the Rfam family "Bacterial small subunit ribosomal RNA", at positions 524 to 776 of the family's 1533-position model. The record is from RNAcentral.
UACGUAGGGUGCAAGCGUUGUCCGGAAUUAUUGGGCGUAAAGAGCUCGUAGGCGGUUUGGCAAGUCGGGUGUGAAAACUCCGGGCUCAACUCGGAGACGCCACUCGAUACUGCUAUGACUCGAGUCCGGUAGGGGAGUGCGGAAUUCCUGGUGUAGCGGUGAAAUGCGCAGAUAUCAGGAGGAACACCGAUGGCGAAGGCAGCUCGCUGGGACGGUACUGACGCUGAGGCGCGAAAGCGUGGGGAGCAAACAGG